RNAcentral lists this ribosomal RNA (380 nucleotides) under uncultured eukaryote. RNAcentral describes it as "partial 18S ribosomal RNA". It matches the Rfam family "Eukaryotic small subunit ribosomal RNA", at positions 592 to 976 of the family's 1831-position model. The record is from RNAcentral.
CAAUAGCGUAUAUUAAAGUUGUUGCAGUUAAAAAGCUCGUAGUUGGAUUUGUGGCGUACGACGGGCUCCGGGCACUUGUUGUCUGAGUAGCUUGUCGUUGCCAUCCUUGGGUGGAACCUGUGUGGCAUUUGGUUGUCGUGCAGGGGAUGCCCAUCUUUUACUGUGAAAAAAUUAGAGUGUUCAAAGCAGGCUUAUGCCGUUGAAUAUAUUAGCAUGGAAUAAUAAGAUAGGACUUUGUCGCUAUUUUGUUGGUUUGCGCGAUAAGGUAAUGAUUAAUAGGGACAGUUGGGGGUAUUCGUAUUCCAUUGUCAGAGGUGAAAUUCUUGGAUUUUUGGAAGACGAACUACUGCGAAAGCAUUUACCAAGGAUGUUUUCAUUAA